AAUCCUCGUUCUUGAAGUUCAGAC
RNAcentral lists this non-coding RNA (24 nucleotides) under Cricetulus griseus (Chinese hamster). Lineage: Eukaryota; Metazoa; Chordata; Mammalia; Rodentia; Cricetidae. The record is from RNAcentral.